UGGGAUGUAACUCAGUUGUUAGAGUGCUUGCCUUCAAUGCACAGGGUCCUGGGUUUAAUCCCCAGCAUCACAG
Molecule: transfer RNA, 73 nt
Filed under: Marmota marmota marmota (Alpine marmot)
Lineage: Eukaryota; Metazoa; Chordata; Mammalia; Rodentia; Sciuridae
Also listed under: 1 other name
Rfam family: tRNA
About the family: Transfer RNA (tRNA) molecules are approximately 80 nucleotides in length. Their secondary structure includes four short double-helical elements and three loops (D, anti-codon, and T loops). Further hydrogen bonds mediate the characteristic L-shaped molecular structure. tRNAs have two regions of fundamental functional importance: the anti-codon, which is responsible for specific mRNA codon recognition, and the 3' end, to which the tRNAs corresponding amino acid is attached (by aminoacyl-tRNA synthetases). tRNAs cope with the degeneracy of the genetic code in two manners: having more than one tRNA (with a specific anti-codon) for a particular amino acid; and 'wobble' base-pairing, i.e. permitting non-standard base-pairing at the 3rd anti-codon position.
Source: Rfam by way of RNAcentral